RNAcentral lists this long non-coding RNA (6381 nucleotides) under Equus caballus (horse). RNAcentral's name for it is "lncRNA (ENSECAG00000055337.1)". Lineage: Eukaryota; Metazoa; Chordata; Mammalia; Perissodactyla; Equidae. The record is from RNAcentral.
CCACUCCCUUCCUCAGGGGUGAGUUGCUGGGAAGAAAUGUGCUGUCUUGCCUGAUAGGCUCUUUGAAAGUCAGGCCUCCUGGUCUACAAGUCUUUUUUUUAAAGUAUGCUUUUUGGUGAGGAUGAUUGGCCCUGAGCUAACAUCUGUUGCCAAUCUUCCUCUUUGUGUUUUUUCCUCCCCAAAGCCCCAGUACAUAGUUGUAUUUCCCCGUUAUAGGUCAUUCUAGUUCUUCUAAGUGGGAUGUGGUCACAGCAUGGCUUGAUGAGCAGUGUGUACAUCUGUGACCAGGAUCCGAACCUGCGAACCCCGGGCUGCUGAAGCAGAGUGUGUGAAUUUAACCACUCGGCUACGGGGCAGCCCCAAGUCUGGAAGUCUUUCUGGAAUGAAAUUUACCUGCCUGAACAGCCCAUGUUUAGUAUUUAUGGCUCUGCCCUAACUACAUCUUCUCUGAAGAAAUUAGUAAAAGAAGGAGUAGAUGACGUUUGCUCAGCUUCAACCCUAGGAAUAGAAGAAGGAGCUUUCCAAAUUCAAAUCUGAGCAUUCACUCCCAGGUUGCCUCCCCUGCCCCCCGCCCUGGGGCUCCCCAUCCUCAGAAGGAAGUCCAAUGUCCUUAUGAAGCCUUUUAAGUCCCCAGAGUCCUAGCUCCUGCCUCCUUUCCCAGUGUUACCCCGACCAUUCUGUUUCUCUCGCUCUAUCUUCCCACCUUCUCUUGGCCAUCUGGGACUCUCUCCCAGGGCUGGGAGUUCUCUCCUCCCUUCCCCUUGCCCCGGUCUUUGGCAGGUGAACGCGUUCCUAUCGUCAUCUCUCACGUCUCAGUUUAACUAUGAUUGACUCUUGGAGAUCCUACCUGGGACAGGGCUUCUUCUGUUCACAUUCCCUGAGCCUUCCAAGUCCCCCCAACUCUUGCACCUCGUUGUAAUGUGCCUUUAAUGCCUGGCCUCCCUGCGGGCGGGGGCUGUGUCUGUCUUGUGCACAUGGUGGCCUUUCUGCUUAGAUUUUAGAGUGAAAUUUAGAGGAUCUCUUUAACUUGUUUCUUUUUUCUUUCUUCUUCUCCCCAAAGCUUCCCCCCGCCCCCCAGUACAUCGUUGUAUAUUCUAGUUGUGAGUGCCUCUGGUUGUGCUAUGUGGGACGCCGACUCAGCAUGGCCUGAUGUUCGGUACCACGUCCGUGCCCAGGAUCCAAAUCAGUGAAACCUCAGUCGACUGAUGUGGAGUGUGCCAACUUAACCACUAGGCCAUGGGACCGACCCCUAACUUGUUUCUUUGACUCUGGUAAUUGUUGAAAUGAACAGGGCCUGUGGCUAGGAAGGGGAAGGUGAGAUAACGGUAACUAUGACAGAAAUAUUUUUAAGCUCUUACCUAUGUCAGGCUCUGCUCUAGGCUCUUUACGUAAAUGAUCUCAUUUAAGCCCCACAAUUGCUAUUAUUAUCUUCACUCUGCAGUCAGUCUUGGGGUGGGGUGAGCAAUGAGUAUUAGGUGGGAAGAAAAUCAAGAAGAUGGUGGGAACUUGAAGUAAAAAGAAAAGCAGGCUCAAUCUGGGGGUCUGCUCCAAGAAAGGGAAAGGGCCCCAGGACGCUGGCGUCCAGGCUGGGAAGUGCUUCUGGUUGCUUUGUUAACAACAGAUAGGGUUUACGUGGCGCUAGUCAAAUGCUGGGUGUUGGGCUAAUAGUGCUUUAUAUGCAUACCUCAUCUCAUCUGCACGACAGCUCACUGAGGAAAAGGAACUUCAGCACAGUUAGGUCACCUGCUCAGUGUCACCCAGCUGACAGCUGCCUUCGUGCCUUCUUGCUGUGUCCUCACAUGGUGGAGAGACUGAGAGCACUGGUCUCUUCUUCUUCUUAUAAGGACACUUGUAUAGUCCCAUUGAGGGGGCCUUACCUUCAUGACCUCAUCUGAAUCCAGUUACCUCCCAAAGGACUUAUCUCCACAUACCAUCACACUGGGGAUUAGGGCUUCAACAUAUGAAUCUUAGGGGACAUGAACAUUCAUUCCAAAACAACCCCAAAGUCCGCUUGCUCACUGGGGCAUUCCAAGAUGGUCAGUGAAGCACCAAGUUCUAAUUCACUUCUUGGGUGUAGCCGAAUGCAUUUACUUGAAGCACUGAGGCUGUGUUAGGGAUUUAUACAAAUGAUACACCACCCAGAUCAGCAAGUCUAAGUCUGUAAGGGCACUGCAGAACCUGACUUUGUCCCAGUAAAAGACAGACAAUUUUAACUGAGAUCCCUCAGUCUGGAGGCCACCAGAGAAUUCCUUGAGCUCAGCCUGGUCUCUUGAAUCGAAGAUAUUUGGGGCUAGUGCCCCAAGUAAUUUCUCUGCUCCCUGGCUGAGCCUCCUCCCUCUGAUAUCCACAAAUCCCAGCCUCUUCUAUAAAAGUAAAAAUUCUCUUUCUCAAGCUGAGCCUUCUGCCGCAGUCACAUGCCCAAGGUCUAUUCUUUCCUGCAGUUUCUUCUUCCUGAGCCAUUCCAUCUCUCCAGAUAUGGUGACCAACUCAUCCCUGUUUGCCUGAGACUUUCCUGGUUUUAACACUGGAAACCCUUUGUCUUAGGUCCCCAUUCCAUCCAAGUCAACAUGGACAGGUGGCCACUCUACACCAGAAGAGGGCAGAGGAAUGUUUUUUCUCAUCCAGAUACCAUUUCUUCAGCUCUCAAUGUAUGCAGCCUGUCUGAUUGUGUGGCAAACUUUCACCAACGUCCCAGAAAUUAGCAGGUUAACAGCGAAAAAUUUACUUGUUCAUAGUUGACUUGUUUCGUGCCCGCAUGUCCCCUUUUGGACACUAGAUGGCGGCCUCUCCCCCCUGGUUUAAAGAAAGAGGACCAGUAUCACUCAACGGGCCUUUUGGAAGUGCUAGCCAUCUGGGAAAACCAUGGGCCAGAGGAUUAAAAGAGAGAGAGAGAUGUGAAAUAUAUGUAUUUGUGGGACAGACUGGAAUAAGCAGAUUAGUGAAAUGGCAAGUGAUAAAAAGCAAAAAAUGUCAGAUUUGGCUUAAAAUUCAAGCAUUUAGAAUUUAGGAUGGCAAGAAAGGCAUGCUGUUUCACUGCAAAGUGGGUCUAAUUUCACCAUCUGAUCCAAAUAACACAUCCAUUGUGAAUAAAUUGUAUAAAGGAGGAAAAAAGCUAACUGGAGUUAGAGAAGCCAAACGCAUGGAACAGAAGACCUUCUGGGUCGAUUUAAUUACAGCUUCGGUUCUCUGGGUGAGUGAACAGCAUAAUAGAGAAGACAUCGAUCCCUUCAGGUGUGUUUAACCAGGCUGGGCUGACUGGUUGAAGACAGGCCGACAAAGCUUGCAGCAGAGGCCCCUUGUGAGGCUGAAUGACUCAUACCACCUGCAGAGAGCACAGUUGCCAUGAGCUUGCUCAUCCUCCUCAAGGAGCUAAAUUUACAUUCUGAGAAAAGAACACUGUGGUGCUGGAGCUGGCGGGAGGGAGCAGGGAGGAGAUGGGAAAGGAAAAUGGCAUCAUCUUGGGGUGAGUCCCAGCUGAUUUUAAAUGGAAUCACAUGAUGAGGGAUUCGUGAGCGAGGCCAAGGGAUGUUUUAUGGAGAAAGUAGUAUCUGAACAACUCUAGUUUUGUCUUUAAGCAUCUGCCCCCCCCCCCUUAAAUCUCAGGAAAUACUAACAUUGAAUGUAUGAAACCCAGAAAUUAUGCUACUGCCCACCCCCCAUCAAAACUUGAGUUAAGGAUGAGCACACUGCCCUUCACAAGCCAUACUCGUUAACUCAGAGAAUGAUGGAGCUGGACUGGCCCUCACUGGCCCAGCGGUCCAGGGGCUUUUCAAACUGUUGGAGAGUCCUAGCUCUCCACAGGGUUACCCAGGGGUAACCUUAGACAGUGAUGCAUUUGAUUCUGCACAUAGAAUAUUUAAAAUGUCUCAAGAAACUAUCACUUUUAUUAUGGGCUCUGGAAAAAUUUGGUUUGAAAAAAAUCUCUUAUUAAACAUACAAAUUUGAAGCCCACAGAUCAAUUUUUUAGGCCCAGAGGGAUGAAAUCAAACAACGGCUUUCCCUAGAGCUGAUGAUGCAGGGUGAGUAAACCCAAGUGGACAUGGUUGUUCCUGGCAGAGCCUAAUCAGAAGAUACACAUUUCCUGUCCUGCAUCCCAAGUCCUUUGAAUUCAGAGGAACAAGUCAAAAGAGGUCUCCAAAGUUAUGAGCCUGGAGUGGAGUCACCAGUGUCGGCGACGAGGAAAUUUUGAGGAGAGAACUCUGGAGAGGCGUCACCAAAUGUGCUGCAGCUCAGACGUUGACGAUAACCUCGUCCUUCAGAGAUUGCGAGUUCAAUACCUAAAGAAGUUGUAUCUGCUUUUUCUUAGACUCUUCGGCACUAGAGGAAGGUUUUCACUCUUGUGCCCUGCAGGUGGGAGUCUGAUAGGCCAUGAGCUGAGGACAGCCCUGAACUGCAGGACUGUUGGGAAUGUCCCAGACUGGAUAGAAAUGUGAUGUAAGUUGUGAGGGUAGUAGAGUGGAAGGUGUGCUGAACAGAAGGAAAAGAGACCUGGACCCCUUAAUACCUCUGAGACUCAGUUUCUUCACCUGAAACAUUAGUGAUAAUAAUAGGGAUUCUACCUACCACUUAGGGUUGUUUUGAGAAACAAAUCAAAUUAUACAUGUGACCAGGUGUUUUAAAAUAGAAAGUUGAAUAUUAAAAGUAGCUGACAGGGGCUGGCCCCAUGACUGAGUGGUUAAGUUUGCACACUCCACUUCAGCAGUCCAGGGUUUGCCAGUUAGAAUCCUGGGCACGGACCUAAACACUGCUCAUAAAGCCAUGCUGUGGUGGCAUCCUAUGUAGAAGAACUAGAAUGACUUACAACAAGGAUAUACAACUAUGUACUGGGGCUUUGGGGAAUUAAAAAAAAAGAGGAAGAUUGGCAACAGAUGUUAGCUCAGGGCCAAUCUUCCUCGCCAAAAAAAGAAAAAGGAAAAGGAAAAAGCAUUAAAAACAUCCAGUUAAAAAAAAAAAGUAGCUGACAAUUUUUGAGCACUUACUAUGUUAAGCACUUUACCACGGCCAGUUCUCACAGAAGGACCUGUAAUGAGCAAUGACACCUUAACACAAUGAAUGUGGGAGUCCUACAUUGUACUAGCUAAGAGCAGGAACUUUGGUAUCACCCAGACCUGGGUUUGAUCCUCUCUCUGACGGUUCCCACCGUUGUGUGAGGCUGAAUGGGUUACUUAACGCCUCUGAAUUUCAGUUUUCUCAAAGGCUUAUAGGAUUGCGGUUGUACAGAUUAAACAAGAUAAUGCAUAUAAACCAUUUAGCAAAAUUGCUUAUCAAUUGCUUACAAAUAUCAGAUUAAAAAGGAUACUUUUAUGUGAACUUCUGUUGAGUUUCUGUCCCAGACACUAGGGAUAUAUUAACAUCAAUAGGACAUUGUGCCUGUGUCUGCCCUUGAAGUGUUUGCCACCUAAUUGGGAGGUAAGACAUCAAGAUGGGCAGAUCACUAACAUGAGGCAGUCAGUAAAAAAUAACAAGUUAGUGAUCCAAACUUUAUAUAUUUUAAGGAAUUUAGAGCAAGGAGAGAAGUAGUUACAGGGUAGGGGCAGGGAGCAGAGCAGGAAGAUUUUUUGCAAAGCCAAUUAUAUGUCCAUACAUUUGAGUUUUUUGUCCCCAUCAAGGCAACCAUGUAGGGUAACUCAGGGAUAAUCCCAACAUCUGGUCCUUGUUUACUCAGGUUUCCUGCAGGUCUCUCCUAUUUUGGGUUCAGUUUGUAUGGAUUGACCUUGGCUGUUUGUGGGUAUAACAUGGAGUAGAGCAGAGCUGCUCAAACUUGAGUGUGCUCAAGAUCAGCUGGAAGGCUGUUAAAAAGUCCAUAGACCCCACCUCAAGAGAUUCUGAUUCAGUAGGUCUGGGGUGGAGCCCAGAGGUUUGUACGUGGGUCUGGGGACCACACACUGCGAGCAAUGCUGGAAUGAGAGUGGUCAAGGGCUGCGCUGGGACUGGAGCACACACCUGGGUCACCUGUUUCCUGGUGUGAUCUCCAAUUUGUUCCUAGAACACGGACUUGUCUCUGUUCAAACAACCCUACUGCUUGCCUCUUGGGUGACCUGGGAAGAGCUUCUCAGUCUCUCAGAACAUCCAUUUCCUCACUUGAAAAUGGAAAUGACAUCUACAACACAGGGUUGCAGAGAGAAUUAAUGAGAUAAUAUAAGGAGAAGCAUAUUGCACAGUGCCUGCUUGCCUCAAGCCUCCCCUCCCCUGCCACAGAACCCACCAAUCUCUCCUUCCUGACAUCUCUGAACUCUGUCUCUCGCCUGCCAUCCCAAUGCGUAUGUCUGUCCCUAUCUGUUGUGGCUGAUUCCUUCUGGUCCUGUAGCCUCUUCCAAGACUUGGCCUGACACACCUAACUUACAGGUCUGUCAGAACUCUUCUCAUUGACCCAACACCUAG